RNAcentral lists this ribosomal RNA (502 nucleotides) under uncultured bacterium. RNAcentral's name for it is "partial 16S ribosomal RNA". It matches the Rfam family "Bacterial small subunit ribosomal RNA", at positions 29 to 523 of the family's 1533-position model. The record is from RNAcentral.
AUUGAACGCUGGCGGAAUGCUUUACACAUGCAAGUCGAACGGCAGCACAGGUGCUUGCACCUGGUGGCGAGUGGCGAACGGGUGAGUAAUACAUCGGAACGUACCCAGUCGUGGGGGAUAACGUAGCGAAAGUUACGCUAAUACCGCAUACGUCCUGAGGGAGAAAGCGGGGGACCGUAAGGCCUCGCGCGAUUGGAGCGGCCGAUGGCGGGUUAGCUAGUUGGUGGGGUAAAGGCCUACCAAGGCGACGAUCCGUAGCGGGUCUGAGAGGACGGCCGGCCACACUGGAGCUGAGACACGGUCCAGCCUCCUACGGGAGGCAGCAGUGGGGAAUUUUGGACAAGGGGCGAAAGCCUGAUCCAGCCAUUCCGCGUGAGUGAAGAAGGCCUUCGGGUUGUAAAGCUCUUUCGGCAGGGAAGAAACGGCUUGGGAUAAUACCCCGGGCUAAUGACGGUACCUGAAGAAGAAGCACCGGCUAACUACGUGCCAGCCGCCGCCGUAA